RNAcentral lists this ribosomal RNA (253 nucleotides) under uncultured bacterium. RNAcentral's name for it is "partial 16S ribosomal RNA". It matches the Rfam family "Bacterial small subunit ribosomal RNA", at positions 524 to 776 of the family's 1533-position model. The record is from RNAcentral.
UACGUAGGCAGCAAGCGUUGUUCGGAGUUAUUGGGCGUAAAGGGCUCGUAGGCGGUUUGUCGCGUCGGGAGUGAAAACCAGGUGCUUAACACCUGGCCUGCUUUCGAUACGGGCAGACUAGAGGCAUUCAGGGGAGAACGGAAUUCCUGGUGUAGCGGUGAAAUGCGCAGAUAUCAGGAGGAACACCGGUGGCGAAGGCGGUUCUCUGGGAAUGUCCUGACGCUGAGGAGCGAAAGUGUGGGGAGCGAACAGG